GGAUCAUUACCGAGUUUACAACUCCCAAACCCCUGUGAACAUACCACUUGUUGCCUCGGCGGAUCAGCCCGCUCCCGGUAAAACGGGACGGCCCGCCAGAGGACCCCUAAACUCUGUUUCUAUAUGUAACUUCUGAGUAAAACCAUAAAUAAAUCAAAACUUUCAACAACGGAUCUCUUGGUUCUGGCAUCGAUGAAGAACGCAGCAAAAUGCGAUAAGUAAUGUGAAUUGCAGAAUUCAGUGAAUCAUCGAAUCUUUGAACGCACAUUGCGCCCGCCAGUAUUCUGGCGGGCAUGCCUGUUCGAGCGUCAUUUCAACCCUCAAGCACAGCUUGGUGUUGGGACUCGCGUUAAUUCGCGUUCCUCAAAUUGAUUGGCGGUCACGUCGAGCUUCCAUAGCGUAGUAGUAAAACCCUCGUUACUGGUAAUCGUCGCGGCCACGCCGUUAAACCCCCAACUUCUGAAUGUUGACCUCGGAUCAGGUAGGAAUACCCGCUGAACUUAAGCAUA
RNAcentral lists this ribosomal RNA (509 nucleotides) under Fusarium oxysporum. Its description in RNAcentral is "eukaryotic LSU rRNA". The stretch from base 158 to 311 matches the Rfam family "5.8S ribosomal RNA". Lineage: Eukaryota; Fungi; Ascomycota; Sordariomycetes; Hypocreales; Nectriaceae. The record is from RNAcentral.